UUAACUCAAAUUUGUAUGGAGUUGGAAUGUUUGCUUACGUUUGCCUCUAGGGGCGCUGUUCCAACUCCAUACAAGUUUGAGUUA
RNAcentral lists this microRNA precursor (84 nucleotides) under Bombyx mori (domestic silkworm). RNAcentral's name for it is "mir-2807 microRNA precursor family". It matches the Rfam family "mir-2807 microRNA precursor family". Lineage: Eukaryota; Metazoa; Arthropoda; Insecta; Lepidoptera; Bombycidae. The record is from Rfam by way of RNAcentral.